This 497-nucleotide ribosomal RNA is filed under the name uncultured bacterium. Its description in RNAcentral is "partial 16S ribosomal RNA". It matches the Rfam family "Bacterial small subunit ribosomal RNA", at positions 28 to 507 of the family's 1533-position model. The record is from RNAcentral.
GAUGAACGCUGGCGGCGUGCCUAAUUCAUGCAAGUCGAGCGAACAGACGAGGAGCUUGCUCCUCUGACGUUAGCGGCGGACGGGUGAGUAACACGUGGAUAACCUACCUAUAAGACUGGGAUAACUUCGGGAAACCGGAGCUAAUACCGGAUAAUAUAUUGAACCGCAUGGUUCAAUAGUGAAAGACGGUUUUGCUGUCACUUAUAGAUGGAUCCGCGCCGCAUUAGCUAGUUGGUAAGGUAACAGCUUACCAAGGCAACGAUGCGUAGCCGACCUGAGAGGGUGAUCGGCCACACUGAAACUGAGACACGGUCCAGAAUCCUACGGGAGGAAGCAGUAGGGAAUCUUCAGCAAUGGGCGAAAGCCUGACGGAGCAACGCCGCGUGAGUGAUGAAGGUCUUCGGAUCGUAAAACUCUGUUAUUAGGGAAGAACAAAUGUGUAAGUAACUAUGCACGUCUUGACGGUACCUAAUCAGAAAGCCACGGCUAACUACGUG